AUGGGCGCAAGCCUGAUGCAGCCAUGCCGCGUGUGUGAAGAAGGCCUUAGGGUUGUAAAGCACUUUCAGUCAGGAGGAAAGGUUAGUAGUUAAUACCUGCUAGCUGUGACGUUACUGACAGAAGAAGCACCGGCUAACUCCGUGCCAGCAGCCGCGGUAAUACGGAGGGUGCGAGCGUUAAUCGGAAUUACUGGGCGUAAAGCGUACGCAGGCGGUUUGUUAAGCGAGAUGUGAAAGCCCCGGGCUUAACCUGGGAACUGCAUUUCGAACUGGCAAACUAGAGUGUGAUAGAGGGUGGUAGAAUUUCAGGUGUAGCGGUGAAAUGCGUAGAGAUCUGAAGGAAUACCGAUGGCGAAGGCAGCCACCUGGGUCAACACUGACGCUCAUGUACGAAAGCGUGGGGAGCAAACAGGAUUAGAUACCCUGGUAGUCCACGCCGUAAACGAUGUCUACUAGGAGCUGGGGUCUUCGGACAACUUUUCCAAAGCUAACGCAUUAAGUAGACCG
This 507-nucleotide ribosomal RNA is filed under the name Pseudoalteromonas sp. 8Bf2S23. RNAcentral describes it as "bacterial SSU rRNA". It matches the Rfam family "Bacterial small subunit ribosomal RNA", at positions 371 to 871 of the family's 1533-position model. Lineage: Bacteria; Pseudomonadati; Pseudomonadota; Gammaproteobacteria; Alteromonadales; Pseudoalteromonadaceae. The record is from RNAcentral.